GUCUCCUCGUGAGUCGGGACCCUCCUCUCGCCGCCGCCACCUCCUCCCCUUCCUCGUCUCCUGCCGCCGCCACCUCCUCUCCUUCCUCGUCUCCUGCCACGCCCCUCCUCUGGCUUUCGAUCUCCGCCACCGGGCCUCCUCCUCUCUCCCACGGGCCUUGGGUGUGGCUCCGCGCGAGGCGCUACAGAUGAGAGGCGCGGCGGGCAGCCUUCGGGGAGCACCUGCCGUCGAGCAUGCGUAGACGCUUAUCAUCGUCGGCGGGCCACGAGCUUCUCCGGCACCGCCGCCGCGGUCGCGCUACCUCCAUCGUCUAAGCGAGUAUUGGAGGGAGGGCAUGGGCGUGAUUCCGGCGAGAUGUGGCUCGGAUAGAUGUCUGCGAUGCGGCAAUCAGAAAUCCUUUGUUACCUUCUCAGGAACUAGGCUUUGUCGCCUGUCAUGCUUCAAAGGCGUCAAGUGACAGUUAACAUAUGACAAUGCCUUGUACAAAUUAAUGUCUACUUGAAAGGCUUUGUACAAAUCAAUGUCUACUUGAAGUCUCUCUCGCUGGUGCAUCUCUGUUUGGAGCACAAUCGAUUGGAAUGAGGAGCCAUAUAUGACAAUAUUUCAAGUUGUAUAUGGAGAACAAUCAAUUAGAAACCAUAUAUGAAGCCGUAUACUCCAUCAACUGUAUACCGCAAUGAGAAGCUGCUUAGAUGGGCUUAUACUUAAUUUGUAUGCAGCAUUUCACUUGCCACUGUAGUCGCUCUCUUGUUACUAGCAACCUUGGUCGCAUUGUAUUUCUUUUGUCCAUGUGCAUUUAACCAGUUGUCUUGGUCUACUGUGAAACCAACCUUUUAUUUAGUUUGUGCUUAUGGAUUGUGGAAGACUGUUAUGUUUGAUGUUUUUCUAUUGAAUUUCUUCAUCUUAGUACACCCAUGAGGUCCCCUGAUAACAAUUUUGUCCAAGAGUCUUUCGUUAUUGCAAUUUCUGAUGAGCAUAUAAGACAUUGUGCUGUUGUUGGUAGCGCAAGAAGGUGGUAUGACAUCGAUGGUUUAUGCAAUUGACAGAUGAUUUUGGUAGAGUUAGUGCCAUUUUUGUUUCAUGCUCGUGCAUUGGAUGCUUGUAGCUUUCCUUUUGUUGUCAAGAUAUGUCAUUGUAUAUUUUUCCUGAUUGUCGAAAAUGGCUUCCUGUGCAGUUUAGUGGUGCGUGGAUUAAGAUUUCAGCCAUGGGUGACUUUGACUUCAUAGCUAGGGCAUAUGUGAAAGUCACAGGAAAGUGGGAUCGCUUGGACAUCACAAGCAAUUUGUGAUGCUGAGGAUCUUGUAGAGAAUUUCAGCUGGCUGCGUCGCUGUGAUUGUGGAUAACUUUUUCCGGAUGGAAAGGAAAGUGAAUUCCAAUAUUAUCAAAGCAAAAUUGGUGAAGUUGGAUGAGGAUUGGAGUUGGCGUGUAACCUACUUACUCACAUAUGGCAUGCUCAUGAUUUUUCAGGGUACAAAUAUAGUGAAGUUCUAUUACAUAUAUGCAUGUGAUAUUCACUAUACUUUUUCUCAUUGCCCAUUACUUCACAUGCAAUAUAACCUAUUAUGCAGCAACCAAGGUGAUAUGCAGGGCCAAGGUGAUAAAAGAACUUCUCAGUUCACAAAUGAAAGUGAGUUUUGACUUCUGAUGACAUUACACUGAUCAUAUUCUGGUGAGAUGUUGAUGACAGGAAGAAUUAUUAUUGUUGUUCAAGGUAGCUGCAACUAUGCACAUGAUGCAAGAAUUAUAUUUCUGUAGAGGUAGCUGCAACUAUGCACGUCAGUUUGAUCCUCCUAACUAAAAAUAAAAUUUAAUCUUCUUGGCAGAUUCACUUUUCUAUAAACUAAUUUCCGGUGUAGUUUGAAAAAAAAAGCAAAAGACUCGGAUACGAUCAUAGGACUACAACAUGAAGUUUGAGGAGUGUCCCAUAUCCCAUCAUCAUUCUCUCAGUUUUUACGACAUGAUUCUCCAUGAUGAUCUUAGAUAUACCUAGGAAGAUCAAAUUACAGAAAAAAAAACCUUGGAAUGGUUCUUUUGAUUUACCUUCGGUUCUUAUUAACGAUAUAGUUAUCUAUAUUAUCAUUUCGAAGUGGUGUUCCUGGAACAUUAAAUUGAUUAUAAAUACACUAGAUAUUAAUUUUGUGCAUAUCCAUGUCCCACCCACAACGCAAAGCAAGACUGCACAUAUACGUUAACGAUUGUGCCAGCAAGAUUAGUACGCACAAUCACGCACACAGAGGAGGCGCACACAAUAAGAGUCGGGAAGGGGUGGCCACUUGCCUAUGCCACUCGCCAAUGAUAUAUUUUGGAUCUUGCUGCUUGAUUUUGGCAUCUAUAUGUUGCAGACCACGUAUUACAGGUACUAUUUCAAUCUCUUGGUUAUUUCAGAUUGCACAUAUAAACCGGGUGAUGGAAGAUGUACUGUACUAAGCGGUUGAAUUGUGGUUGUCGAAGCCUUUAUUAGAAUGCUAAAAGCUUCAGACCUUUGCUUUUCUUCCGGAGUUUCGCGGAACUGAACUUCUGUAAAGUUCAUCAACCAGAUCCUACUCUUAGAUAUUUUGUUUAAGUAAAAUUUGCUCGAAGUGAUUAAGGAUAUCGGGCCUCUAAAAGAAAAGUAAGAAUCUAAAUUCCUAAGUAAUUAUAACAACUCAAGUGUGAUCUUCUUGUUGCUUAAUUUUCCAGUUAAGAUAUCUUUUUGAUAUAGAUUGCAAGGUUUCGUUCUCGCAUAAAACUCCCAAUCCUAUGAUCAUCAUAUGUUUCCUGUAUGAUGUUUUUGCUGGAAGGUCUGAUGUAUAUCUCUUUUCUAAAAAUGUCACUGAUAGUUUGUUUUGCCGAACAUAUUAGGUUAACUGGAUUCCAUCUCAAUUCCUGUAAAUCUCUCUAAAAAGGUCACUGCCAAGGUGGUGUGGAGUGAGGAGAUGUAGAGAUAGAUGAGGACGACGGAAGGAAGCAGUAGCAGCUCGAUCCAGGAACCAACAGCUGGCUCGCUCCUAGGUCUUCAACCCGCUCCCCCCUCCUUUCAGUCUACCGCGUGCAGCAGGUGGGUAUACUCAGCUUCGUUGCUCCCACUCAUCUUCCUCCCUCCCUCUCUAUCUUAUACAGGUUCCAUCUAAUGGCAGCACUCUCUCCCUUUUCCAUCUCUAUUUAGUAGAUGGUGGAGCAACCAAGCAUACGUACACAUUGAAAUUGAUUCUAUUGAGCUUAUUCACAGUUAUCCAUCAAGGAAUGGUUGUAAUAAAUAUUUUAUAUCUCUACAUCCAAGAGAUCAAGAGAUCCUAAUGUUAUAGCAUACGUCCA
Aegilops tauschii subsp. strangulata is the source of this 3294-nucleotide long non-coding RNA. RefSeq lists it as uncharacterized. Lineage: Eukaryota; Viridiplantae; Streptophyta; Magnoliopsida; Poales; Poaceae. The record is from RefSeq and is a predicted model, not a curated record.